UACGUAGGGGGCAAGCGUUGUCCGGAUUUACUGGGCGUAAAGCGCGUGUAGGCGGCCAGGCAGGUCCGUUGUGAAAACUGGAGGCUCAACUUCCAGACGUCGAUGGAAACCGCCCGGCUAGAGUCCGGAAGAGGAGAGUGGAAUUCCUGGUGUAGCGGUGAAAUGCGCAGAUAUCAGGAAGAACACCAAUGGCGAAGGCAGCUCUCUGGACAUUUCCUGACGCUGAGGCACGAAAGCCAGGGGAGCAAACAGG
This 253-nucleotide ribosomal RNA is filed under the name uncultured prokaryote. RNAcentral's name for it is "partial 16S ribosomal RNA". It matches the Rfam family "Bacterial small subunit ribosomal RNA", at positions 524 to 776 of the family's 1533-position model. The record is from RNAcentral.